AGGAAGGGUUGGAUGACUGUGAAAUUCUACAGGCAAGGAGGCCCGGGAGAGACCCUGCUCAAGCAGGAAACAUAUGGAGAAAACCCAAGGACUGUAACCCUAAGGAGGAUCCAAUGUAUGCAGAAUCAUUAUGACUGGUCCCUGAAGUUUGGCUACAGAAAAGGAGACUGACAUCUGCACUGGGACUCUGCACAUCUUCAACCCUCAUCAUCAAUACACCUCUGCCCAAAUGGCCUAAAAAGAUCUGGGGGCUUUUGCAAUAUGCCUGGAAGAUUAAGAAACCUGACUUUACCAACUAACAAAGUAUCAGGUAACUCCUCUUAAAAGUCUCUCCUCUCUGUUUCCAUCACAAACCCAAAUCUGUCAUUUACAACAG
Molecule: long non-coding RNA, 376 nt
Organism: Mauremys mutica (yellowpond turtle)
Lineage: Eukaryota; Metazoa; Chordata; Testudines; Geoemydidae
Exons: 3
Source: RefSeq, a predicted model, not a curated record